GGGUUGUGAGGUUAAGCGACUAAGCGUACACGGUGGAUGCCCUGGCAGUCAGAGGCGAUGAAGGACGUGCUAAUCUGCGAUAAGCGUCGGUAAGGUGAUAUGAACCGUUAUAACCGGCGAUUUCCGAAUGGGGAAACCCAGUGUGUUUCGACACACUAUCAUUAACUGAAUCCAUAGGUUAAUGAGGCGAACCGGGGGAACUGAAACAUCUAAGUACCCCGAGGAAAAGAAAUCAACCGAGAUUCCCCCAGUAGCGGCGAGCGAACGGGGAGCAGCCCAGAGCCUGAAUCAGUAUGUGUGUUAGUGGAAGCGUCUGGAAAGGCGCGCGAUACAGGGUGACAGCCCCGUACACAAAAAUGCACAUAUUGUGAGCUCGAUGAGUAGGGCGGGACACGUGGUAUCCUGUCUGAAUAUGGGGGGACCAUCCUCCAAGGCUAAAUACUCCUGACUGACCGAUAGUGAACCAGUACCGUGAGGGAAAGGCGAAAAGAACCCCGGCGAGGGGAGUGAAAAAGAACCUGAAACCGUGUACGUACAAGCAGUGGGAGCACGCUUAGGCGUGUGACUGCGUACCUUUUGUAUAAUGGGUCAGCGACUUAUAUUCUGUAGCAAGGUUAACCGAAUAGGGGAGCCGAAGGGAAACCGAGUCUUAACUGGGCGUUAAGUUGCAGGGUAUAGACCCGAAACCCGGUGAUCUAGCCAUGGGCAGGUUGAAGGUUGGGUAACACUAACUGGAGGACCGAACCGACUAAUGUUGAAAAAUUAGCGGAUGACUUGUGGCUGGGGGUGAAAGGCCAAUCAAACCGGGAGAUAGCUGGUUCUCCCCGAAAGCUAUUUAGGUAGCGCCUCGUGAAUUCAUCUCCGGGGGUAGAGCACUGUUUCGGCAAGGGGGUCAUCCCGACUUACCAACCCGAUGCAAACUGCGAAUACCGGAGAAUGUUAUCACGGGAGACACACGGCGGGUGCUAACGUCCGUCGUGAAGAGGGAAACAACCCAGACCGCCAGCUAAGGUCCCAAAGUCAUGGUUAAGUGGGAAACGAUGUGGGAAGGCCCAGACAGCCAGGAUGUUGGCUUAGAAGCAGCCAUCAUUUAAAGAAAGCGUAAUAGCUCACUGGUCGAGUCGGCCUGCGCGGAAGAUGUAACGGGGCUAAACCAUGCACCGAAGCUGCGGCAGCGACACUAUGUGUUGUUGGGUAGGGGAGCGUUCUGUAAGCCUGCGAAGGUGUGCUGUGAGGCAUGCUGGAGGUAUCAGAAGUGCGAAUGCUGACAUAAGUAACGAUAAAGCGGGUGAAAAGCCCGCUCGCCGGAAGACCAAGGGUUCCUGUCCAACGUUAAUCGGGGCAGGGUGAGUCGACCCCUAAGGCGAGGCCGAAAGGCGUAGUCGAUGGGAAACAGGUUAAUAUUCCUGUACUUGGUGUUACUGCGAAGGGGGGACGGAGAAGGCUAUGUUGGCCGGGCGACGGUUGUCCCGGUUUAAGCGUGUAGGCUGGUUUUCCAGGCAAAUCCGGAAAAUCAAGGCUGAGGCGUGAUGACGAGGCACUACGGUGCUGAAGCAACAAAUGCCCUGCUUCCAGGAAAAGCCUCUAAGCAUCAGGUAACAUCAAAUCGUACCCCAAACCGACACAGGUGGUCAGGUAGAGAAUACCAAGGCGCUUGAGAGAACUCGGGUGAAGGAACUAGGCAAAAUGGUGCCGUAACUUCGGGAGAAGGCACGCUGAUAUGUAGGUGAAGUCCCUCGCGGAUGGAGCUGAAAUCAGUCGAAGAUACCAGCUGGCUGCAACUGUUUAUUAAAAACACAGCACUGUGCAAACACGAAAGUGGACGUAUACGGUGUGACGCCUGCCCGGUGCCGGAAGGUUAAUUGAUGGGGUUAGCCGCAAGGCGAAGCUCUUGAUCGAAGCCCCGGUAAACGGCGGCCGUAACUAUAACGGUCCUAAGGUAGCGAAAUUCCUUGUCGGGUAAGUUCCGACCUGCACGAAUGGCGUAAUGAUGGCCAGGCUGUCUCCACCCGAGACUCAGUGAAAUUGAACUCGCUGUGAAGAUGCAGUGUACCCGCGGCAAGACGGAAAGACCCCGUGAACCUUUACUAUAGCUUGACACUGAACAUUGAGCCUUGAUGUGUAGGAUAGGUGGGAGGCUUUGAAGUGUGGACGCCAGUCUGCAUGGAGCCGACCUUGAAAUACCACCCUUUAAUGUUUGAUGUUCUAACGUUGACCCGUAAUCCGGGUUGCGGACAGUGUCUGGUGGGUAGUUUGACUGGGGCGGUCUCCUCCUAAAGAGUAACGGAGGAGCACGAAGGUUGGCUAAUCCUGGUCGGACAUCAGGAGGUUAGUGCAAUGGCAUAAGCCAGCUUGACUGCGAGCGUGACGGCGCGAGCAGGUGCGAAAGCAGGUCAUAGUGAUCCGGUGGUUCUGAAUGGAAGGGCCAUCGCUCAACGGAUAAAAGGUACUCCGGGGAUAACAGGCUGAUACCGCCCAAGAGUUCAUAUCGACGGCGGUGUUUGGCACCUCGAUGUCGGCUCAUCACAUCCUGGGGCUGAAGUAGGUCCCAAGGGUAUGGCUGUUCGCCAUUUAAAGUGGUACGCGAGCUGGGUUUAGAACGUCGUGAGACAGUUCGGUCCCUAUCUGCCGUGGGCGCUGGAGAACUGAGGGGGGCUGCUCCUAGUACGAGAGGACCGGAGUGGACGCAUCACUGGUGUUCGGGUUGUCAUGCCAAUGGCACUGCCCGGUAGCUAAAUGCGGAAGAGAUAAGUGCUGAAAGCAUCUAAGCACGAAACUUGCCCCGAGAUGAGUUCUCCCUGACUCCUUGAGAGUCCUGAAGGAACGUUGAAGACGACGACGUUGAUAGGCCGGGUGUGUAAGCGCAGCGAUGCGUUGAGCUAACCGGUACUAAUGAACCGUGAGGCUUAACCUUACAACGCCGAAGGUGUUU
Molecule: ribosomal RNA, 2932 nt
Filed under: Escherichia coli str. Sanji
Lineage: Bacteria; Pseudomonadati; Pseudomonadota; Gammaproteobacteria; Enterobacterales; Enterobacteriaceae
Description: bacterial LSU rRNA
Rfam family: Bacterial large subunit ribosomal RNA
Source: RNAcentral